This 373-nucleotide ribosomal RNA is filed under the name uncultured bacterium. RNAcentral describes it as "bacterial SSU rRNA". It matches the Rfam family "Bacterial small subunit ribosomal RNA", at positions 494 to 864 of the family's 1533-position model. The record is from RNAcentral.
CUCGCGUGUCGUGUCAGCCGCCGCGGUAAUACGAAGGGUGCAAGCGUUACUCGGAAUUACUGGGCGUAAAGCGUGCGUAGGUGGUUUGUUAAGUCUGAUGUGAAAGCCCUGGGCUCAACCUGGGAACUGCAUUGGAAACUGGCUUACUAGAGUGCGGUAGAGGGUAGUGGAAUUCCCGGUGUAGCAGUGAAAUGCGUAGAUAUCGGGAGGAACAUCUGUGGCGAAGGCGACUACCUGGACCAGCACUGACACUGAGGCACGAAAGCGUGGGGAGCAAACAGGAUUAGAUACCCUGGUAGUCCACGACCCUAAACGAUGCGAACUGGAUGGUUGGGAGCAACUUGGCUCUCAGUAUCGAAGCUAACGCGUUAAG